CAGUCGCCGCGGGAACACGGAGGGUGCAAGCGUUACUCGGAAUCACUGGGCGUAAAGGACGCGUAGGCGGAUUAUCAAGUCUCUUGUGAAAUCUAACGGCUCAACCGUUAAACUGCUUGGGAAACUGAUAAUCUAGAGUAAGGGAGAGGCAGAUGGAAUUCUUGGUGUAGGGGUAAAAUCCGUAGAUAUCAAGAAGAAUACCUAUUGCGAAGGCGAUCUGCUGGAACUUAACUGACGCUAAUGCGUGAAAGCGUGGGGAGCAAACAGGAUUAGAUACCCGCGUAGUCCCUGUCUCUUAUAC
This 301-nucleotide ribosomal RNA is filed under the name uncultured bacterium. Its description in RNAcentral is "partial 16S ribosomal RNA". It matches the Rfam family "Bacterial small subunit ribosomal RNA", at positions 509 to 807 of the family's 1533-position model. The record is from RNAcentral.